Molecule: long non-coding RNA, 1061 nt
Filed under: Fukomys damarensis (Damara mole-rat)
Lineage: Eukaryota; Metazoa; Chordata; Mammalia; Rodentia; Bathyergidae
Description: lncRNA (ENSFDAG00000029321.1)
Source: RNAcentral
GCUCUUCCUAUGGGUCACCUAUUGGAUAAAAUGCAUUAUAGGUUUCUAUCUCACUGAAUUCUCCCAAUAACUCUAUGAAUUAGGGGCUAUAAUUAUUCCCUUCUUUCAGAUGAAGAAACUGACGCUGAGGAAUGUAAGUGGAUUUUCUCUACUUAAUAAGCUUUUAAGUUGAUUGGCUUGGCUUCUAGCUUAGCUCUGCAUGGCUCCAGUGCUCAUGUUUCCAUGAAGGAAUUGAGUGAGAUGAAAAAAGAGAAAGACUUAAUUUUGAAGCUUUCACCCUUCUCUCCAAGGAUGCCCCGAAUCAAGAGCUCAUUGUAGGGCUUUCACAGAGGAAAGAAUUGGGCUGCUGGAAGGAGCAGUUUCCAGAGUCCCUCAGUGCCAGCUCGACUCCGGCUGGAAAGGUGGAUAGUCUGAGUGUUGUCAGCCUCUGUAAGAAGAAAUGAGCAUCCUGGUGACAGCGUUCCCUGCCCUGUGGAGAAGGGAUGCUGUUUAGGACUCUGUGUUGUUGGGUAUUUUAUUUACAAUGUCACCACACAUCAUGUUUUUAAUUGCACAAUCUAAAUUCUUUAAAGAUAAUAAUUUAAUAUAUAUCCUCAUAUUGAUUGCCUUUAAACACAAUUGGUAGCUUGAGUGAAUUUAUCUAAUGUUAUAUAUUGUUGUCCUUGACCACAUAUAAGGAGAAUUUGGCAAAGAAACUAUGUUGAAUAUGCAUUUGCCGAUUCUGAGCUGGGUAAAAUGUAAGCUAAACACAUGCCCAUAGAAAUAAGAAACAAAUAUUUUUCUAUAUUACAGGUUGGUGAAAUACAACCUCAAAGAUUCUUUUUGUUGUAAAAGAAAAAUACUGUUUUUCACUUUGUCACGUAAUUUUGGAACACUUCGCUAGGCAGUGCUAUAAAAGAAAAGUGGACAUUGGGGUACUUAGGCUCUAGUUUUGGCUUUUUCAUUGUACAUCCAGAAUUCCUUGUGUUGUAAGUUGUAAAAAGGACCACUAAAAAAUCACUUAAGCAAAAAGGGAGUUCAACACUUAAGCAAUCAGUGAUUAGUGUAGGUGUGAUUGGGGG